This is an RNA transcript of Homo sapiens (human), 1768 nucleotides long. It is a transcript of the gene named integrator complex subunit 4 pseudogene 2, with no coding region annotated. The record is from RefSeq and is marked validated. NCBI's taxonomy places the organism in Eukaryota, Metazoa, Chordata, Mammalia, Primates, Hominidae. The transcript has 13 exons.
AGAAGAAGGAGGGCGGUGGCGGGGGUGAUGCAGCGGCCGCUGAGGGUGGCGCAGGGGCCCCGGCCAGCCCGGGGCUGCAGCAGUGCGGACAGCUCCAGAAGCUCAUCGGCAUCUCCAUUGGCAGCCUGCGCGGGCUGGGCACCAAGUGCGCUGUGUCCAACGACCUCACCGAGCAGGAGAUACGGACCCUGGAGCAUUGUCCCAAUUCCUUCUUCUAAUGAAGAAAUACGCUUAGUUGAUGAUGCGUUUGGAAAAAUUUGUCACAUGGUCAGUGAUGGCUCUUGGGUGGUUCAUGUUCAGGCAGCAAAACUGUUGGGCUCUAUGGAGCAAGUCAGUUCUCAUUUCUUGGAGCAGACCCUUGACAAGAAGCUGAUGUCAGAUCUGAGGAGGAAACGUACUGCACAUGAGCGUGCCAAGGAACUUUACAGUUCAGGGGAGUUUUCCAGUGGCAGAAAGUGGGAAGAUGAUGCUCCCAAGGAAGAAGUAGAUACCGGGGCUGUGAACUUGAUUGAGUCAGGAGCUUGUGGAGCUUUUGUUCAUGGGUUGGAAGAUGAGAUGUAUGAGGUUCGUAUUGCUGCUGUGGAGGCCCUCUGCAUGUUGGCCCAGUCUUCACCCUCUUUUGCUGAGAAGUGCCUUGAUUUCCUAGUUGACAUGUUCAACGAUGAAAUUGAGGAAGUACGUCUGCAGUCCAUACAUACCAUGAGAAAAAUCUCUAACAACAUCACCCUCCGAGAAGAUCAGCUUGACACUGUCCUGGCUGUGCUAGAGGAUUCAGCCAGAGAUAUUCGAGAGGCUCUUCAUGAACUCUUAUGCUGUACUAAUGUUUCAACCAAAGAAGGGAUUCAUCUUGCAUUGGUGGAGCUGCUGAAAAAUUUAACCAAGUACCCUACUGAUAGGGACUCCAUAUGGAAGUGCUUGAAGUUUCUGGGAAGUCGGCAUCCAACCCUGGUGCUUCCCUUGGUGCCAGAGCUUCUGAGCACCCACCCAUUUUUUGACACAGCUGAACCAGACAUGGAUGAUCCAGCUUAUAUUGCAGUUUUGGUACUUAUUUUCAAUGCUGCUAAAACCUGUCCAACAAUGCGAGCAUUGUUCUCAGAUCACACCGUCAGGCACUAUGCCUACCUCCGAGACAGUCUUUCUCAUCUUGUUCCUGCCUUGAGGUUACCAGGUAGAAAACUGGUGUCAUCAGCUGUUUCUCCCAGCAUCAUACCUCAAGAGGAUCCUUCGCAGCAGUUCCUGCAGCAGAGCCUUGAAAGAGUGUAUAGUCUUCAGCACUUGGACCCUCAGGGAGCCCAGGAGCUGCUGGAAUUCACCAUCAGGCCUUGCAGGAAAAGUCGUGGAAUGUAGCUGCCCCUUCGUAUUUGAAGCAGAGUGAUUUGGCCUCAGCAGCAGCAAAACAGACUUUACCCCUUAUUUGGGAUGUGUGAAAAAUUUUUACAGGAAGUAGACUUUUUUCAGAGGUAUUUCAUCGCUGAUUUGCCCCACUUGCAGGACAGCUUUGUGGACAAACUCCUUGACCUUAUGCCCCGACUCAUGACAUCCAAACCUGCAGAAGUGGUCAAAAUUCUACAGACCAUGCUGCGACAGAGUGCCUUUCUGCAUCUCCCACUUCCAGAGCAGAUCCACAAAGCCUCAGCCACCAUCAUUGAGCCAGCGGGCGAGUCAGACAACCCUUUGCAGUUUAACUCUGGGUUGGUGGUUGCCCUGGAUGUUGAUGCAACCCUGGAGCAUGUGCAGGAUCCUCAGAACACUGUUAAGGUCCAGGUCU